RNAcentral lists this transfer RNA (75 nucleotides) under Persicirhabdus sediminis. RNAcentral's name for it is "tRNA-Gly". It matches the Rfam family "tRNA". Rfam says of the family: Transfer RNA (tRNA) molecules are approximately 80 nucleotides in length. Their secondary structure includes four short double-helical elements and three loops (D, anti-codon, and T loops). The record is from RNAcentral. Lineage: Bacteria; Pseudomonadati; Verrucomicrobiota; Verrucomicrobiia; Verrucomicrobiales; Verrucomicrobiaceae.
GCGGGUGUAGCUCAGGGGUAGAGCGCAACCUUGCCAAGGUCGAAGUCGAGAGUUCGAAUCUCUUCACCCGCUCCA